CAGUCGCCGCGGUAAAACGGAGGGGGCUAGCGUUAAUCGGAAUUACUGGGCGUAAGGCGUGCGUAGGCGGUUUGUUAAGUCUGCUGUGAAAUCCCCGGGCUCAACCUGGGAAUGGCAGUGGAUACUGGCAAGCUAGAGUGUGUCAGAGGAUGGUGGAAUUCCCGGUGUAGCGGUGAAAUGCGUAAAGAUCGGGAGGAACAUCAGUGGCGAAGGCGGCCAUCUGGGACAACACUGACGCUGAGGCACGAAAGCGUGGGGAGCAAACAGGAUUAGAUACCCCAGUAGUCCCUGUCUCUUAUAC
RNAcentral lists this ribosomal RNA (301 nucleotides) under uncultured bacterium. RNAcentral's name for it is "partial 16S ribosomal RNA". It matches the Rfam family "Bacterial small subunit ribosomal RNA", at positions 509 to 807 of the family's 1533-position model. The record is from RNAcentral.